UGUUAAUGUUGAAGGACCAGGAA
This 23-nucleotide non-coding RNA is filed under the name Mus musculus (house mouse). The record is from RNAcentral. Lineage: Eukaryota; Metazoa; Chordata; Mammalia; Rodentia; Muridae.